GGUCUGGGAUGGGCUCGCGGCCUAUCAGCUUGUUGGUGAGGUAAUGGCUCACCAAGGCGUCGACGGGUAGCCGGCCUGAGAGGGUGCCCGGCCACACUGGGACUGAGACACGGCCCAGACUCCUACGGGAGGCAGCAGUGGGGAAUAUUGCACAAUGGGCGGAAGCCUGAUGCAGCAACGCCGCGUGAGGGAUGACGGCCUUCGGGUUGUAAACCUCUUUUAGCAGGGAAGAAGCGAGAGUGACGGUACCUGCAGAAAAAGCGCCGGCUAACUACGUGCCAGCAGCCGCGGUAAUACGUAGGGCGCAAGCGUUAUCCGGAAUUAUUGGGCGUAAAGAGCUCGUAGGCGGUUUGUCGCGUCUGCUGUGAAAUCCCGAGGCUCAACCUCGGGCCUGCAGUGGGUACGGGCAGACUAGAGUGCGGUAGGGGAGAUUGGAAUUCCUGGUGUAGCGGUGGAAUGCGCAGAUAUCAGGAGGAACACCGAUGGCGAAGGCAGAUCUCUGGGCCGUAACUGACGCUGAGGAGCGAAAGGGUGGGGAGCAAACAGGCUUAGAUACCCUGGUAGUCCACCCCGUAAACGAUGGGA
Molecule: ribosomal RNA, 585 nt
Filed under: Microbacterium sp.
Lineage: Bacteria; Bacillati; Actinomycetota; Actinomycetes; Micrococcales; Microbacteriaceae
Description: bacterial SSU rRNA
Rfam family: Bacterial small subunit ribosomal RNA
Source: RNAcentral